Molecule: ribosomal RNA, 207 nt
Filed under: uncultured bacterium
Lineage: Bacteria
Description: partial 16S ribosomal RNA
Rfam family: Bacterial small subunit ribosomal RNA
Source: RNAcentral
CAUGUAGGCGGAUUGAUAAGUUUGAAGUGAAAUCCUAUAGCUUAACUAUAGAACUGCUUUGAAAACUGUUAAUCUAGAAUGUGGGAGAGGUAGAUGGAAUUUCUGGUGUAGGGGUAAAAUCCGUAGAGAUCAGAAGGAAUACCGAUUGCGAAGGCGAUCUACUGGAACAUUAUUGACGCUGAGAUGCGAAAGCGUGGGGAGUAAACA